UGACCUCAAAUCAGGUAGGAUUACCCGCUGAACUUAAGCAUAUCAAUAAGCGGAGGAAAAGAAACUAAC
Molecule: ribosomal RNA, 69 nt
Filed under: Phellinus tuberculosus
Lineage: Eukaryota; Fungi; Basidiomycota; Agaricomycetes; Hymenochaetales; Hymenochaetaceae
Description: partial 28S ribosomal RNA
Rfam family: Eukaryotic large subunit ribosomal RNA
Source: RNAcentral